RNAcentral lists this ribosomal RNA (3018 nucleotides) under Providencia rettgeri. RNAcentral's name for it is "23S ribosomal RNA". It matches the Rfam family "Bacterial large subunit ribosomal RNA". Lineage: Bacteria; Pseudomonadati; Pseudomonadota; Gammaproteobacteria; Enterobacterales; Morganellaceae. The record is from RNAcentral.
GGUUAAGCGACUAAGCGUACACGGUGGAUGCCUAGGCAAUCAGAGGCGAUGAAGGACGUGCUAAUCUGCGAUAAGCGUCGGUAAGGUGAUAUGAACCGUGAUAACCGACGAUUUCCGAAUGGGGAAACCCAGUGCAAUUCGUUGCACUAUCGUUUGAUGAAUACAUAGUCAAACGAAGCGAACCGGGGGAACUGAAACAUCUCAGUACCCCGAGGAAAAGAAAUCAACCGAGAUUCCCCUAGUAGCGGCGAGCGAACGGGGAGCAGCCCAGAGUCUUAAUCAGCAUUAGCAUCAGGAGAACGGUCUGGAAAGGCCGGCAGUAAAGGGUGAUAGCCCCGUAUCCGAAGGUGUUAGUGUUGUGAACUCGACGAGUAGGGCGGGACACGUGUUAUCCUGUCUGAAUAUGGGGGGACCAUCCUCCAAGGCUAAAUACUCCUGAUUGACCGAUAGUGAACCAGUACCGUGAGGGAAAGGCGAAAAGAACCCCGGCGAGGGGAGUGAAAUAGAACCUGAAACCGUGUACGUACAAGCAGUGGGAGCCCCACCACCAAAGCAUUUUCUGGUGUUGAGGACAACUUUGAAGUGACAUUCAACACGCGUUGGCGGAGCGUUUUUUGCGACGCCCAACACACAAAACAAGCAGUGAAUGUGCUUUGGGGUGGGGUGACUGCGUACCUUUUGUAUAAUGGGUCAGCGACUUAUAUUCUGUAGCAAGGUUAACCGUAUAGGGGAGCCGUAGGGAAACCGAGUCUUAACUGGGCGAAUGAGUUGCAGGGUAUAGACCCGAAACCCGGUGAUCUAGCCAUGGGCAGGUUGAAGGUUGGGUAACACUAACUGGAGGACCGAACCGACUAAUGUUGAAAAAUUAGCGGAUGACUUGUGGCUGGGGGUGAAAGGCCAAUCAAACCGGGAGAUAGCUGGUUCUCCCCGAAAGCUAUUUAGGUAGCGCCUCGUGAACUCAUCUUCGGGGGUAGAGCACUGUUUCGACUAGGGGGUCAUCCCGACUUACCAACUCGAUGCAAACUACGAAUACCGAAGAAUGUUAUCACGGGAGACACACGGCGGGUGCUAACGUUCGUCGUGAAGAGGGAAACAACCCAGACCGCCAGCUAAGGUCCCAAAGUCAUAGUUAAGUGGGAAACGAAGUGGGAAGGCUCAGACAGCCAGGAUGUUGGCUUAGAAGCAGCCAUCAUUUAAAGAAAGCGUAAUAGCUCACUGGUCGAGUCGGCCUGCGCGGAAGAUGUAACGGGGCUAAACUAUGCACCGAAGCUGCGGCAGCGAUAUGUAAAUAUUGUUGGGUAGGGGAGCGUUCUGUAAGCCUGUGAAGGUGUACUGCGAGGUAUGCUGGAGGUAUCAGAAGUGCGAAUGCUGACAUAAGUAACGAUAAUGCGGGUGAAAAACCCGCACGCCGGAAGACCAAGGGUUCCUGUCCAACGUUAAUCGGGGCAGGGUGAGUCGACCCCUAAGGCGAGGCAGAAAUGCGUAGUCGAUGGGAAACGGGUUAAUAUUCCCGUACUGGUGAUAAUUGCGAUGGGGGGACGGAGAAGGCUAGGCUAUCCGGGCGACGGUUGUCCCGGUUUAAGGAUGUAGGCAGGUGAAUUAGGCAAAUCCGGUUCACUAUAUGCUGAGGUCCGACGACGAGUCACUACGGUGAUGAAGUAGCUCAUGCCCCGCUUCCAGGAAAAGCCUCUAAGCUCUAGAUUAUCAUUAAUCGUACCCCAAACCGACACAGGUGGUCAGGUAGAGAAUACUCAGGCGCUUGAGAGAACUCGGGUGAAGGAACUAGGCAAAAUGGUGCCGUAACUUCGGGAGAAGGCACGCUGGCGCUAGGUGAAGUCCCUCGCGGAUGGAGCUGAAGCCAGUCGCAGAUACCAGCUGGCUGCAACUGUUUAUUAAAAACACAGCACUGUGCAAACACGAAAGUGGACGUAUACGGUGUGACGCCUGCCCGGUGCUGGAAGGUUAAUUGAUGGGGUUAUCCGUAAGGAGAAGCUCUUGAUCGAAGCCCCAGUAAACGGCGGCCGUAACUAUAACGGUCCUAAGGUAGCGAAAUUCCUUGUCGGGUAAGUUCCGACCUGCACGAAUGGCGUAAUGAUGGCCAGGCUGUCUCCACCCGAGACUCAGUGAAAUUGAACUCGCUGUGAAGAUGCAGUGUACCCGCGGCAAGACGGAAAGACCCCGUGAACCUUUACUAUAGCUUGACACUGAACAUUGAGCCUUGAUGUGUAGGAUAGGUGGGAGGCUUUGAAGUGUGGACGCCAGUCUGCAUGGAGCCAACCUUGAAAUACCACCCUUUAAUGUUUGAUGUUCUAACGUAGCCCCGUUAUCCGGGGUGCGGACAGUGUCUGGUGGGUAGUUUGACUGGGGCGGUCUCCUCCCAAAGAGUAACGGAGGAGCACGAAGGUUGGCUAAGCAUGGUCGGACAUCAUGCGGUUAGUGCAAAGGCAUAAGCCAGCUUGACUGCGAGAGUGACGGCUCGAGCAGGUACGAAAGUAGGUCUUAGUGAUCCGGUGGUUCUGAAUGGAAGGGCCAUCGCUCAACGGAUAAAAGGUACUCCGGGGAUAACAGGCUGAUACCGCCCAAGAGUUCAUAUCGACGGCGGUGUUUGGCACCUCGAUGUCGGCUCAUCACAUCCUGGGGCUGAAGUAGGUCCCAAGGGUACGGCUGUUCGCCGUUUAAAGUGGUACGCGAGCUGGGUUUAGAACGUCGUGAGACAGUUCGGUCCCUAUCUGCCGUGGGCGUUGGAAGAUUGAAAGGGGCUGCUCCUAGUACGAGAGGACCGGAGUGGACGCACCACUGGUGUUCGGGUUGUCAUGCCAAUGGCAUUGCCCGGUAGCUAAGUGCGGAAGAGAUAACCGCUGAAAGCAUCUAAGCGGGAAACUUGCCUUGAGAUGAGUCUUCCCUGACCCUUAAAGGGUCCUAAAGGAACGUUUAAGACUAAGACGUUGAUAGGUUGGGUGUGUAAGCGUAGCGAUACGUUGAGCUAACCAAUACUAAUGAACCGUGAGGCUUAACCUG